CCUACGUGUGGCAGCAGUGGGGAAUAUUGGGCAAUGGGCGCAAGCCUGACCCAGCAACGCCGCGUGAAGGAAGAAGGCCUUCGGGUUGUAAACUUCUUUUCUCAGGGACGAAGCAAGUGACGGUACCUGAGGAAUAAGCCACGGCUAACGACGUGCCAGCAGCCGCGGUAAUACGUAGGUGGCAAGCGUGAUCCGGAUUUACUGGGUGUAAAGGGCGUGUAGGCGGGACUGCAAGUCAGAUGUGAAAACCAUGGGCUCAACCUAUGGCCUGCAUUUGACACUGUAGUUCUUGAGUGCUGGAGAGGCAGGCGGAAUUCCUGGUGUAGCGGUGAAAUGCGUAGAUAUUAGGAGGAACACCAGUGGCGAAGGCGGUCUGCUGGACAGCAACUGACGCUGAGGCGCGAAAGCGUGGGGAGCAAACAGGAUUAGAUACCCUUGUAGUC
RNAcentral lists this ribosomal RNA (443 nucleotides) under uncultured bacterium. RNAcentral describes it as "partial 16S ribosomal RNA". It matches the Rfam family "Bacterial small subunit ribosomal RNA", at positions 338 to 795 of the family's 1533-position model. The record is from RNAcentral.